GCAUGUGAGGGCGAUCCGGCUGCGACAUCUGUCACCCCGUUGAGCGCCAGGGUUGACCCGGCCAAUCUGGCUGACUGGGCGGGUGUCCCCUUCCUGCCCCACGGCUCCAUGCGCAUCCCUCCCGAGGCUGCACGCUCAGCGGAAGAGGACAAACAUCCCCGCUAGAGGAGGACCGGUCUUUGGUCAAGGGUAUCCGAGUAGCUGGGCUCCCCUCUUAGAACCUCCAAACAAGCUCUCAAAGGAGACUUGGACGGGUGGAAGGAUGCUUUCACAGACGGCAGCCAGAG
RNAcentral lists this small nuclear RNA (287 nucleotides) under Oryctolagus cuniculus (rabbit). Its description in RNAcentral is "7SK RNA". It matches the Rfam family "7SK RNA", at positions 1 to 293 of the family's 331-position model. Rfam says of the family: 7SK was discovered as an abundant small nuclear RNA in the mid-70s but a possible function has only recently been suggested. Two independent studies have found that 7SK RNA binds the CDK9/cyclin T complex (known as elongation factor P-TEFb). The record is from Rfam by way of RNAcentral. Lineage: Eukaryota; Metazoa; Chordata; Mammalia; Lagomorpha; Leporidae.